Long non-coding RNA from Corvus hawaiiensis (hawaiian crow), 3379 nucleotides. RefSeq lists it as uncharacterized. The transcript has 3 exons. NCBI's taxonomy places the organism in Eukaryota, Metazoa, Chordata, Aves, Passeriformes, Corvidae. The record is from RefSeq and is a predicted model, not a curated record.
UUGAAGUGGCAAAGGGAAUUCUGGACUAGACAAGAUGGCUGCUGUGCUAAUGGUGCAAACUCUGAGUGUAGAAAAGUACCAUCAGUCUAAUUGACGAGAAUCUGGAGCGAGUUAACAUCAGGAAUGCUGGAGCUGCAAUUUGUGAAGUAACUGUGUCUUUUGGCAAGGCCCAUAGAGUAUGAAGGAGAUGGGCCCACCACUCAAACAGAGAGCCUGAAAUUAUAACAUGAGCAAAAGAAAACAAAGUUCCCCCCAGAGUCCCAAAAGGAAGUUGUUCCUCAACCAAUAAACUGGUGGGAUAAAGAUGAAAAUUCAAGACAAAAGCUGUGAUGCAGCCUGAAAGUGCUGCAGAAGUGGCCUGCCAGCCUUGCAGGUCCAGAGGUACUGUAGCUCAGCUCUUGACGCAAUGGAAAUUUCUGCAUCUCCACACUUUGGAAGAAAAGACACAGGUUAAGACACUGCUGGAAUCUCUGGUCUUACAGAAGUGGAUUUGUCCAAUUUAUGCUAAGGUAGCUCAUUUUCUUAGGUACAGAAUUAGGCAAAACCCCCCAAAAAUUCUCUGGGCCUCUGGAAGUCAUAUUUCACAUUUGGAAUUAAAUCCAGAAUCCCUGGAAAAAAGUUCAGUUCCACUGUUCAAUGAGCACCGUGUCAGAAUAGAUAGACGUAAGUUUCUAUAGACCAUUUAUCUCAUAUUAUCUGUUUUCCUGUUAAAGGAAGUGCUGCAAAUAUGAUCAAUCAAAGGGCAAAGACCUAACGCACACAGUGAACUAAACACAGAAAAUGAAAUAAACUGGUUAGGUAAAGAUUUUCCCUAGGUUUGCAAUGUUUAAAACAAAUGAGAUAAGAGUGCCUACCCUUUUCUUUCAGUAUUGCCAUCUUCAAUAAUCACUGAAGGUAGAACACCUAAAUAAUUGUUUUUAAGUGGGGCUAUAAAUGACGACUGCGUAUCAUAGCCUGGUCACUGAAUGCUCUGUAACAGCACAACCAUUAAUAACUCUCAUGACAGGCCUCAGGCUUGGUUCCACAAUGCUGCAGUCAGCAAAAACAAGCAUGUGUUUAGGCAAGGUCUUUAUGACUUAGAUUUGGCUGAUUUCAGUAAAAGUCACACUGGGCAAAAGCUUAUUUUAUGCUAAGAGCCAUACUUGAAGAGUUUGGAGACAGAAGAACAAAAGAAAACAAACUACACUCAACUAAAACAGUUUCCUCGAAAACCAGAGCAAGGGCAUCUGAAGAACAGAAAAGCAUUUGGCCACACCAUAUCUGUAGGCGCUGAGGAGAAGCGGCCACCUCAGCGCAGUUCAGGGCUGCGUGAGGUAAACAAUCACUACAGACUUCCCCUAUCAAUCCCGAGCCACACAUGCCGGCCUCCACUGUGACACCGCUGCCUCCGGCACCCACUGGGGAUGUCUCCUGCUUGUCUGACCUGGUGCCAGCAGAGAACCAGUGGCUCUAGUUCCUACAGUCAAAGCCUCACACUGGGGUGAUCUGACUAUUGCCUCACGCAUCCUGCCUUCCCAAGUCUUGAACUGCAUCUUCCAGUGGCUAGUCAGCCAGGACUGGAAGGCCUGACAGGGAAGCAGCCUUGGCUAGGAUGCAGCACCAGGCUGUCAGCUUUUGCAAACUGCUGCUGGGAGCUGGCAAAGGGUCAAUGCUCCAAGCUGCUGCCCCAUCCCUACAUUUGCCAACUAAGACAGGGCUCAGGGUGUGCUGCCAGUGCUGGUCACCUACACUGGGAAGCUGCAGCUGGCUUUGAAGACAAGCAACAUCCCCAACCCAGUGUGGCAACCUUGGCACAGUAGCUCCCCAGCAAGACUGACAGAAAUAAUAUUUUCGUAUAAUCUCUACGACUUCAUCGUGCUCUGUGUGCUGCACGUUCCAGGACCAGAUUCUACAAAGAGAAGCCCUGUUGUGGUUACAUUAAAAAUUUGAUGCUGAAAGUUCUCCAAAGUCAACCAAGCUAUAAAAGAAGAAAGAGACUGAGGUUUUUGUGAUUCAGUAAGAUGAACAUGUUAGCAGGAAAGAGACUACUGUACUUUAAUGGAUAUAUGGAGAAGCCAAUAAGACCCAGCAGGCCAAUAUAUUCUAGAUGAAAUAUUAUCAUAAAUGAGGAUGUGUUUUUAUUCAAAGCACGAGCUGUUUACUUUAGAUUUUGGGCAGCUGGGUGGCCUCAUUCAAUGGUUCCCUUACUUUGUUUGGGUUUGUUUUUUCUUAUUAACCUUUCUGUGUAAUUAUUAAUAUAACUUGUUUAUGAAUUGGACUUUUUUCGCUGCUUGCAUUGUAAUUGAGAUACAAGUCCAUAUUUUUAUUUAUAUUUGCAUUAGAAUUUAGUAUUAACCGACUGAGAUAAGUGGCUUUUAAGAGUUUUAGUUCAAGGCGCCAGGUUCCUACGCCAUAAAUUAAAAUUUACAGAAAUAAACAGAGCAGCCAUUUUAUUAACUAGAAGGACUAGAAGGACACAUGAAAACUUACUGCAGCUCAUUUUUUUUUGUCUCUAUGGCACAAGUCCUGCUGCUUCUCACCUCUCCCUUCCCCAAAACCUAUGAAAAGAGAUGGGUCACCCACUAGCUAUGCAAAGCUCCCUUGGGAAGUGGAACAGGCACUUUUCAGGAAUAAAAUUAUGCCAGGCCAGCAUCUUAGUUACUGAAAUACCAUAAUUAAAAACUACUUGGAGGUUCUGAUGAAACAGGGAAAGUUCAACUCCCAUCAUGCCUACACUACAUGCACCCAUCUUCAUUUUCUAAGUUGUGUGGCUCCUUUCCUGUCUAGUCAAAGUAAAAAAUUAGCUCCUCCAAGAAAGAUUCAGCACACACAGGUUACGUUCUGCUCCCAGCCUUUUCAGGAGUUUUUCAUUCCCUUGACAGCAGAGCCUUAGCUAGAUACUAGAAGUUGGAGUAGAGUCACAGUUGGGGAAAUACAAGAAUAGAGACAGAGAAACCCACCAGUCAGCAUAAUACAGACAGAAAGGGCAAGAGGAUUCAUCACUUUAAGUUCCAGUCAUUUUUCAUACAUUCCAUGUUCUUAUGGAGCAUGCAGAGUGCAAUCAAGCUUGCAGAAUUUCUAUGGAAAUUGUAUUUAACCUCAAGACCAAAGAGCAGGCAUACCCUAGAUACAAAUGUUAAUCCUUCCAAGAAUAUUGCAGUGCUUAUUAUUUCAUAGAAAGAAAGAAGUUCUGUAGCUCCUACAAUGAAGAAAACCACUUGACAAUUUCUCUGGGCUCCCACUUUUCUAUGAGCAAUUAAAUUGCUAGAAAGUACAAAUCAAUAAAUGUGUAUCACUAGGUAGAAUAAAAGUAUGUUUGCACAAUCCUCCAGUACAUUCUUGUAUUUUUAUCAAGGCUUGCUGGGAAUAGCAUUAAACCCAGAUAAACAAACUAUUGGUC